AUUCCAGCUCCAAUAGCGUAUAUUAAAGUUGUUGCAGUUAAAACGCUCGUAGUCGGAUUUCGGGGCGGGCCGACCGGUCUGCCGAUGGGUAUGCACUGGCCGGCGCGUCCUUCCUUCCGGAGACCGCGCCUACUCUUAGCUGAGCGGGCGCGGGAGACGGAUCGUUUACUUUGAAAAAAUCAGAGUGUUUCAAGCAGGCAGCUCGCUCUUGCAUGGAUUAGCAUGGGAUAAUGAAAUAGGACUUUGGUGCUAUUUUGUUGGUUUCGAACACCGAAGUAAUGAUUAACAGGGACAGUCAGGGGCACUCGUAUUCCGCCGAGAGAGGUGAAAUUCUCAGACCAGCGGAAGACGAACCACUGCGAAAGCAUUUGCCAGGGAUGUUUUCAUUA
RNAcentral lists this ribosomal RNA (389 nucleotides) under Syracosphaerales sp. Its description in RNAcentral is "partial small subunit ribosomal RNA". It matches the Rfam family "Eukaryotic small subunit ribosomal RNA", at positions 582 to 975 of the family's 1831-position model. Lineage: Eukaryota; Haptophyta; Syracosphaerales. The record is from RNAcentral.